Molecule: transfer RNA, 74 nt
Filed under: Toxocara canis (dog roundworm)
Lineage: Eukaryota; Metazoa; Nematoda; Chromadorea; Rhabditida; Toxocaridae
Rfam family: tRNA
About the family: Transfer RNA (tRNA) molecules are approximately 80 nucleotides in length. Their secondary structure includes four short double-helical elements and three loops (D, anti-codon, and T loops). Further hydrogen bonds mediate the characteristic L-shaped molecular structure. tRNAs have two regions of fundamental functional importance: the anti-codon, which is responsible for specific mRNA codon recognition, and the 3' end, to which the tRNAs corresponding amino acid is attached (by aminoacyl-tRNA synthetases). tRNAs cope with the degeneracy of the genetic code in two manners: having more than one tRNA (with a specific anti-codon) for a particular amino acid; and 'wobble' base-pairing, i.e. permitting non-standard base-pairing at the 3rd anti-codon position.
Source: Rfam by way of RNAcentral
GCGGCCAUAGCUCAGUCGGUUAGAGCGUGGGUCUAAUAAGCCCAAGGUCGCAGGUUCGACCCCUGCUGGCGGCA